Molecule: long non-coding RNA, 3312 nt
Organism: Pan troglodytes (chimpanzee)
Lineage: Eukaryota; Metazoa; Chordata; Mammalia; Primates; Hominidae
Exons: 8
Source: RefSeq, a predicted model, not a curated record
GGGAUUCAUAGACCUUGUUCUGUCCAUCUCCUUCAAUGUACAGGAAAGGACAGUGAAGCCAGGGAGCUCAAGUGACCUCCUCCAGGGGAUACAGCUGUGGUGUGGGAAGCAUCAUGAGAACACGGUCUUUGAUGGGGAUAAUUACUCUGAAUCUACCAGGCUGAUUAAGCCACAGCAGAUCAGCAGCACUCACAGUGUGUGCUACCCUUCUGCAUGGUGGAAUUGUGGGGAAGUAACUACUAGCCAGAGACUACCUCAAGGCCUGUUUCAUCAAGGAGAGGCCCAUAUGAUUAGUUUUCACCAGUGAGCUAGAUACAGAGGACCUAACAUACAACUCAGGGUCCCUAGAAGAUGGAGAAAACACAGACAAUUGGCAGAGGAGAUGGGCAUGUGAUUAUUGUUACCACUUGUCUGGAAGCAACCAGAAUGGAGUGGGGAACACUCAAGGAGGAGAUCUUCACAGGACUCACCUCUCAUCACAGCUCCCGUGUGGUUGUAAUCACCCCAGAGGGAAAAAUAAUUUCGGUUUUUUAUGGUUUAAUUAUUGGUGAUAGCAGCUGUUUUGAAGACACAAACACAGAAACAAGUUCUAGAACAUACUCACAGUUUCCUUGGUCACAGUGGUGUCAGUGGUUCUAUAAAGGUCUUAUGAAUCUCUACUUAGUUGACCGCAAGUAGUAAGCAAGAAACAAUCCUGUAAAGAGAAUGGAGGUCAGAAUAAAGAAGUCUUGAGGGUUUAAAUCGCUUCUUGAAGAUAAAUGCCCAUGUGUCAAGGAGCUAAGGGAGACCAGCCCAGGAGGAGCUGAAUCCUGCCAACAAUCACUUGAGUGAACUUGAGAGUGAAUCCUCUCCAUGUUAAGCCUUGAGUCCUGACUGGGUGCCCAGCACUGGGGGAAGAUGUAGGAAAAGGAGACUCCAUCGUCUUUCCCCGGGCGCAGGAAGUUUAUGUGUAUGAGGCAGAGUAACCCAAGGAUGCCAAGGAUCCAAAUGAGAGGUAUGAACAAUGUGUUUUGGAAAUGGUCAGAAUUGGGGUCAGGAGAAGGCUUCAGAGAGGAGGUGGAAUGUGGGAUAGGUGAGAUUCUCAUAGAUGAAGAAGUGGGAUUUGCAGAAUUGCCCCUCACCCUCCACUAACCUUUGGAAAGUCUCAAUCUAUAUGCUCUUUCAUAGUCUUUAUCCUUGUUUGUCUGAAGAGCACAGGAUGGAGAACUGUCCAGACAAAGGACUCAAAGAAAAAAGAUGCUCAGGCAAUAUACUGCAGGGCAGAUGAAGCACUGGCCUGCCUGGAAUGGGCUUUGAGGCUUUGCUCAUUGAUUUGCCAGUUAAAUCCCACUCUUGAGUGAUUCUCACAGCUGACCUGAAUGCCCUUUGGGAUGGCCACCUGCUGGCUGCACCUUCCUCUGCUUAUGUCCGCUCCACAGGCCCAUCUGCUCUGUUACAGAUUCCGGUCAGUGAUCCUAGACUGAAAUUUUACCCUCUCUCCUGAUCAGAAAGGAAAGUGAUUGUGCUUUCCAACUAUAAAUCUAUUUAGUAAAUAUUUACUGGAUACCUACUUUUAGCAAGGCACCAGGGUAAAAAUGUUUGAAGAUCUAAAAAUCUGCAAAUACAGUCUGUCUCUUUCCUCAAAGAAUUUGCAGUCUCUUCAUGGAGUGGAGUUAAAAAUAAAUACAUGAAUGAAGAUGCUGCAAGCCAGUGAGAUAUGCACCCAGAGAGGAGUAAGCAAUGAGGUGGGAGUUAGAGGGAGGAGCUGUCACUUCUGGAUGGAGGGACAAGGGCAGGUUUUUUGGGGAAGAGUCUGCGCAGAGCAACAGGACUUGAAAUUGAGGGAAGGCAGAGCUCUAGGUUUUAUCUAAAAUUCUGCAUGUGGAGUGGCAGUUAGUAGAAGCUGAUUCUCAUGUCAUUUCUUUCUCAAAUCAUUUCAUGUGUUUUCAUUACUGAAAACAACCCAUCUAAAGGCCAUGAUAACUUCUGGAAAAAGUCCAAGCUAAUUUCUGGUUUACCUAGAGCUCUCCCAGUUUACAUAUUAUUAAUAAACCUUCUUUCAUUGUACAAACUGUCAUGGUUUGAGAAAUGAAUUAUAUAGGCAUCUUAAUUCUUGAUAAUGCUUUCAGCAGCCUUUCAGAAAUUCUAAGGUCGCAAUGUUGGAUUAGCUAUUUAAGCUGCAAGCAACAUGGUAGAUUUUGGGAAGGGAUGUAAACUUGAACCAAGAAAUCCCCUUUAUUUUGCUUCUAAAUCAACAUAUACAAAUCAACAAAAAGAAAAAGCCAAGGCACCCUUUUUGCCUAGAAUAGAAGCAGGUGGGUGUGCCAGUCAUACACUCAUUGCUGAGGUAUGCUGAUAACACAGCAAUGAUCAUGGAUAAUCUAUUAACACACUUGAGCCAUACUCAGUCUUGUUUUGCAGAUAAACAUAGUCUGUGAUUAUUUUACAACACUGUUAAGGUGCGGAGGGUUGUCCCUCAUUUAUUACUUGACUAAUAAAUACUUUAAUUACACUUAAUAAAUAAUGUAAGCAGGGCUCACUGAAGUGGUAAUUCUUUAAAUUAAUUAUUAACUGCAUGCAAAAGGCUGCACUGCCAGUACCACUAAAAGAAAAUUCAGGCUUUAAUCUAGUGAUUAUUCAUUAUCUGGUAUAAGGGCUCCAUUUGCAUAUUAUUAGGGAAAUAAACUUCGGCCUCCUUGGCAAUACAGAUAGAUCUCAAAGUCCAUGCAUUAUGAAUCUCCAAAUACUAAAGCAAUGAUAAACAAUAAAAUCCUCAGUUUAUAGCUUUAUAGCAGCUGGUUUUUGAUUUUUCAAAUAUAUUACAAUGAUAAAGUGACCAGUUAAUGUAUAAGCUCUUUGUGAAAGGUGGUGCCUACAGAUGGUCGACUGAUAGGAAACAGUAAAUGUGCAAACUGCUCAUUUCCCUUGAGAUAGGAGUCAUAAAGUGAUCUCAGUAAGAUAUGAGAAGAAAAUAUCCAUUUAACCCCUUUCUCUGCAGCAACCCAAACAUGGUAGUGCACUGAAUUGUUUUGUAUGUGUCUGUUUCUCCUCUCCUCUCUGGCUUCACAUCUUCACUUUGGAAAAGUGAAAGCGGAAUACCUGGUUAUCCGGAGGUCACUGUCUCCACACAGAGUGGUGUCCCUGAUGCUAGCUUGGGGCAAAGAAGCCAGGCCAGCUUAUGGUUGCAAUAGGAAUAGAAGGGACUUCCUUACUCCAAUCCCACCCUACCCCCUCAUCCUGCCUCAACCAGUCAUGCAGAGAGAUGCUGAAUGGCUGCCUGCUCUCAGGGGAGUGGUUUGUGGAGGUUUAAUUAAAAUAAUUUAAUGAAUCAAA